CCUCAGCAUCCAGCAGUGAUUUGGUGAUCUAGGGCACAGUGCAGACUGCCCGGCCUUCUGGAUCUUGCCCAGCUCUCACAAUCUUGCAGACCCCAUGGCACCCGGACCACUUAGUGCACAAGAACACAGACUCCCCACCCCAGGGCGUGCAACCUCCAAGCCUCUCUUCCUGCUCUGCCAGAUCACNGGCAGGUCUUCCUUCCCUGGGCAGAGGCUUCAGGCUUGCUGGGCAGCAGGAUAAGAAAACUUGUGUGGAGAGAGAUCUUAUUUCUCAUGUCUUCCUUCNCCUGGUGUAGUUUGGCUUCUUUCAAAUACAACUUUCCUACCACUUUGUGGUCAGGAGUGGGUAAAGUGAAAGAAGAGGAGACCCUCCACAGAUGUGCUGGUGAAGAAUUCUUGGAGAUCCAGGGCUUCUGUGUCUCAUCGUAGGGCUUCUGGGAGAAUCACCUGGCUUUAUCUUGAAUACUGAUUAUCCUCUUAACAAUUACUGAUGUACAAUUGCUACCUCUUAAGAAAAGGAUUCAGUGUUAAAUUACCAUUUCUGUGUUUCCAUAUUUAAAUUGUCUUAAAUUUAAUUUUAUUUUUAAUUCAUUUUUUAUACUCCAUAUUCCAUUCCCUGUGCCCCCCUCCAUCCACCCUACAACUCCACAUCCUACCCCUCCUCCCCACCCCACCUGACCUCUAAACUCCCUGGGGCUUCCUGUCUCUUGAGGGUUAGGUGCAUCAUCUCUGAAUGAACAUUCAUAUUAAUUUCUAAUUUGUUUGAAUUAUCCUGACAUUAAA
Mus caroli (Ryukyu mouse) is the source of this 783-nucleotide non-coding RNA. Lineage: Eukaryota; Metazoa; Chordata; Mammalia; Rodentia; Muridae. The record is from RefSeq and is a predicted model, not a curated record.